This 381-nucleotide unclassified non-coding RNA is filed under the name Hevea brasiliensis (rubber tree). The record is from RNAcentral. Lineage: Eukaryota; Viridiplantae; Streptophyta; Magnoliopsida; Malpighiales; Euphorbiaceae.
CUCUUAGGGCGGGUAAUGAGAAGGUAUAAAAUAUUUGAUCUUGCUUGAUAUAUGUUGAUUUCUUUCUUUUUAUAAUUUCUUUUAGUCUUUGCUUUCCUUUUCUAAAAAGUAAAUACAUUUUAUGGCUUAAACUAAAUCCCUGGAGAAUACUGUUAUUUUGUAUACGGCUUUCAUUGUACUGACAGAAUGCUUUGUGUCUUGUCAUCAUUGUUUUAUCUUUCGUAGGAGAUAUGAUUUUAAUUAGGACAUCUAAUACUUUUAGACAUAUCAUAAACUUGAUAUAAGAAAAAUUUUGAUAUUGCCUUGGGGCUUUUGGCAACAUGGUCUUGCAAAAAGAUGAUUGAAGACCACAUUGUUUUCGAUGAGGUACAUUGGUUUAAG